AUUACAGAGUUGCAAAACUCCCUAAACCAUUGUGAACGUUACCUAAACCGUUGCUUCGGCGGGCGGCGCCGGGGUUUACCCCCCGGGCGCCCCUGGGCCCCACCGCGGGCGCCCGCCGGAGGUCACCAAACUCUUGAUAAUUUAUGGCCUCUCUGAGUCUUCUGUACUGAAUAAGUCAAAACUUUCAACAACGGAUCUCUUGGUUCUGGCAUCGAUGAAGAACGCAGCGAAAUGCGAUAAGUAAUGUGAAUUGCAGAAUUCAGUGAAUCAUCGAAUCUUUGAACGCACAUUGCGCCCGCCAGUAUUCUGGCGGGCAUGCCUGUUCGAGCGUCAUUUCAACCAUCAAGCCCCGGGCUUGUGUUGGGGACCUGCGGCUGCCGCAGGCCCUGAAAAGCAGUGGCGGGCUCGCUGUCACACCGAGCGUAGUAGCAUACAUCUCGCUCUGGGCGUGCUGCGGGUUCCGGCCGUUAAACCACCUUUUAACCCAAGGUUGACCUCGGAUCAGGUAGGAAGACCCGCUGAACUUAAGCAUAUCAAUAAGCGGAGGAAAAGAAACCAACAGGGAUUGCCCUAGUAACGGCGAGUGAAGCGGCAACAGCUCAAAUUUGAAAUCUGGCUUCGGCCCGAGUUGUAAUUUGCAGAGGAAGCUUUAGGCGCGGCACUUUCUGAGUCCCCUGGAACGGGGCGCCAUAGAGGGUGAGAGCCCCGUAUAGUUAGAUGCCUAGCCUGUGUAAAGCUCCUUCGACGAGUCGAGUAGUUUGGGAAUGCUGCUCAAAAUGGGAGGUAAAUUUCUUCUAAAGCUAAAUACCGGCCAGAGACCGAUAGCGCACAAGUAGAGUGAUCGAAAGAUGAAAAGCACUUUGAAAAGAGGGUUAAAUAGCACGUGAAAUUGUUGAAAGGGAAGCGCUUGUGACCAGACUUGCGCCGGGCAGAUCAUCCGGU
Molecule: ribosomal RNA, 942 nt
Filed under: Chaetomium coarctatum
Lineage: Eukaryota; Fungi; Ascomycota; Sordariomycetes; Sordariales; Chaetomiaceae
Description: eukaryotic LSU rRNA
Rfam family: Eukaryotic large subunit ribosomal RNA (bases 492-942)
Source: RNAcentral